Lutra lutra (Eurasian river otter) is the source of this 4680-nucleotide long non-coding RNA. RefSeq lists it as uncharacterized. NCBI's taxonomy places the organism in Eukaryota, Metazoa, Chordata, Mammalia, Carnivora, Mustelidae. The transcript is spliced from 3 exons. The record is from RefSeq and is a predicted model, not a curated record.
UUCUGCCCCUCCCCCAUACUCAGGUGCUGGGCUCUCUCUCUCUCUCACAAAUAAAUAAAUAAAAUCUUUUUUUUUUUAAAGUCUGUCUUGCCCUUAAGAAACUAAAGUCUAAUAUAAUAAUCAUGUAAAAAUAUUGAACAAAAAUAUUUUCAAAAUACUGUCACAGCAAAUCUCUAGGUAUUUCAAGAUGUCCAGGAAGGAAAAUACUAUACAGUUGACUUUCACGUCCCAAUCAUUAAAACUGUGUUAAUACUGGGCAUUUAGUCUCGGGUGUCAUUUUCCUGAUCUGUGAUUCUCAGGCUGCAUUUCCAGAGCUGUCUGUGGCUCUUUCAAGUAUAAACUGCAAUUCUUUAAAACCUCUGAUCCUUUUACUAGGAGACUGAAAGAAAGUCCUGGACUGAAAAAUGAGUUUUCCACUAGUUUUGUCAGAAAGCAGUUUGUGGAUAUAGCUAUGUGUCUUGGGUGAGAAAGGAUAUAAAACAGUUAAUUCAAAUAAAAAAGCAACAAAGCAACAAAUAGCAAGGCAGCAAACACUUUUGGUGCCUUUCCAGUGAAAACAACCACCCCAGGUCUGUCAAGUCUACUAAAGGAGUUGUUUCAUCUGGAGUUACAUACUCUAACCUCACUUUUCAAAAAAUUGAGUGACUGUUAGUUUGCUUGACUGGGCCGUUUUUGAAAAUCUUAAGGAUAGAGAAAACACUGUGCCACUGACAGUUGAAUAAGUAUACAGUAAAUACACUUUAACAUUUACUACUCCAAGGUCCAUGAAUUUGGCAUCAGGAUUAGCUUCUUAAGCAUUUUAUUCAUAGGAUUCUUGAGCACCCAAAUUGUGAAUUUGUCAGUAGCGAUCAGAAUAUGCUGGUAGAAAUAAGCUGUCUUGCCAAAAGCAGCACACAAAAUUCCUAUGUCAUAAGCUAAUAAAUCCAUUGUUCCCUCUUAGGGAAAAUGACUUCUCAAAAUUUAUACAUUCAUUCAACAAAUAUUUAUUAAAUCCUACUAUCUGUCAGGUAAAAUUCUAGGUGCUUGGGAUGGAUCAAUGAACAAAGGGAUUAAAAAUGUUUACCUUUGUGCUCUUACCAAGUUAGGCAGACAAUAAAUAAUGAACAUAAGUAAUAAGCAAAUGAUAUACAUAGUCCCUCACCUUAGGCACAGUUUUGAUCUCCGUGGUUUCAGUUACUCUAAGUCCACUGUAGCCCCGAAGUAGAUGACCCUCCUUCUUCUGUAUCUAAGGUCAAUAGUAGCUGUCCCUAUGCCUAUGUCAUUCACCUCGCUUCAUUUCAACGUUUUGGGAUUUUUUUUCAUCUCACAUCAUCACAAGAAGGCUGAGUUCAGUACAAUAAGAUAUUUGAGAAAGAGACCACAUUCGUGCAACUUUUAUUACAGCAUGUUAUUAUAAUUAUUAUUUUUUAUUAGUUAUUGCUGUUAAUCUCUUAAUGUGCUUAAUUUAUAGAUUAAGCCGUAUCACAGGUAUGUAUGUAUAGGAAAAAACACAGUAUAUAUAUGGGGUUAGGUAUUACCCGCAGUUUCAGGCAUCUCCUGGAGGUCUUGGGACCACUGUAUAUAGGUACUAUAUAAAGUAAUACUUUAUAUAUCAGGAAAAGGGGAUCAGGAUCAGGAAAAGGGGAGGAUUCAUUCAAUGCCAACUUUAUCCACCUGUUCAUUCAACAUUUGUGAAGUGCCAUAUGCAAUGAUAUCUGCGAGGGUCUGGUGGCAAGUAUCAUCAGACAAAGUUCCUGCCUUCAGGUCUUGUACACUCUCCUGGGAGACAUACACGAACUGAAUAAUCAAACAUCCUCAUCUCCCCCACGCUUCUUCCCUAAUUGAUCUCUCUCUGCGGCACUUCUCACCCUUUAAUAUAUUUCAUGUUUUACUUACAUAUUUUCUUUAUUCUCUGACUCUUCCCUCUAGAGUAUAAGCUUCUUAAAAGUGGUUUAUGUCUGCUCUGUUUACAUCCGUAUCACCAGUAUAUAAAGCAACACCUGCCUCAAAGUCAGCAUUCAAUAUAUAAUUUUGAAAGAAUAAUCACAUAUAUCCAUAUUUUCAGCUAUAUUUGCUUCAGUUUCCAUUUUCCAUUUUUUGUUUGCUUUCCACUUCUUAUAUAGGGAUUUCACUUUUGAAAAUAGAACUCAUCAUCCCUAAUACUUUCCCUCAUAAUAAUAACAAUAAUGUGAAAUACAGACAUUUCUAGCACUAUAAAAAAAGUAACUCUGAUAAUGUAUGUUGUAAAAAGAGUGUUAUAGCAAAAGCCAAGCAAAAGUCACACAAAAUUGAGAGCCAAAUUUAUCCCUAUAAUCUUUAUUACCUAUCAGGGCAGAAUACCAUUAUUCUAACACUACAUUGAAUAUUACAGAAUGCAUUAGCUGAAAUGAGAGUUUCCAGAAAGGAGAGGUGGGGGCUUAAACUGGGAAUAAUUUUUUGUAGCAAGUGAUAGAAGGAAAAAAACAUAAAUAGCAAAUAAACCUCUAUGUCUUCAUAGAAUUAUGAAGCCACAUGGACUAUUGCUCCUAUCCUUGGGUGUCUAAUUACAAACCUCUCCAAUCUGGCAGAGCAGAAUUCUUCUUGGAAGAUAGGUUUUUCCCCAAGCUGGUUGUAGUAUCUCUAUGAAGUCUGUUGACUUAUUGGCUAGCUAUGGCAUUAUUAAACCCAGGACACCAAAAUGUCCUUGUGAGUUAGGCAGUCACAUUACUUAACCUUACAUUUCAUAUCUAUGACUUGACAGAAAUUUCUUUUCUCUCAAAUUUUUCUAUAAUCUUAUCUUCUUUGUUUAUUAGCUUAUGCAGCUUUGUGUAAAAUUAAUCCCAACAACCACAAAGGAGUAAGAAAACAACAUAGGCUCAUGAGAAAUGCCUCAUAGUCACUCUUUGCAGAAAUUCUCUAGCUGAAAAUUUUAAGUGAGGAGCAUCUUAUGAAUCAAAUAAAAUUUGUCUUUCAGAAUAAAAAUCCAAAAACAAUUUUCGAGAGGACAUAGUAAUCUCUCUGGAAACCAUACUUUAAAGAAUUAAUGUUCCUUCAGCCUUGAGAGUUGUGAAUGCCUGGUGGAUACUUUCAACUGAACUUCUAAAUCAUAAACAACCAUGAAAAAAAAUUUUAUAACUAAGGUUAACAAAAACAAAGCCUUGAUUUUUAUGUAGCAUCUGAAACUGUAUUUUCUCAUGUCACCAUCACCAGACUUUCCAGAGGCUCUUUUUCAGAAAAAAAAAAAAAAAAAAUGAUAGCAUAAUUCAUCAGUCAUGGAGAUGCAUUGUACAUGACCCACUAACAUUUCUCUAUUUGUAGCUUUUUGUGAUUGGCGGCGUAUCAAUGCCCUCUAGCACCUGGGACAUAGGGAAUUACAAGCAUACAGCAUCCACAUUAUCUCUACUUUGCAGUCACACUUAAUUUAGCAACAAAAUAUAAGGGUUCAGAGUCUAUCACCCCAAAAUAUGCUGCCUUGGCAUAUUGGUUACUUUGAGUGAGUUAAAGGUAAGUUAAAAAUGUCAGAUGCAAAAAGGGACCUCUGACCUUUCUUUUUUUCUGGAAGGAGGAGAUAAAACUCCCAUGAAAAGUGUCCUCCCUAUACAAGAGGAAAGAAGACAUGCUUGUCACCAGAGAAGGGUACUGAGAGAAAUCUGUACAAACUUGUUAAACUGAUCCUCAUCAAUCUAGUCACUUUUCCACAGUUAACUACCCUACCCCAAACCCCUUUGUUUUGUCAUGUUGUCACAAUUUGCUACCCUUCGUCUAACCUAGUACAUAGCAUUCACCUCUAGCUACUUCUUUGUGUCUUCAUUUUCUAGUGAAGGUGCCCAUGUACAUGUAAAAAUAAAACAUACAGUCUUUUUAUUAAACUUGUCUUUCUUGUCUUCAGGUUUUGCUCAAAGACCUAAGAGUUAACUUAGCCUUUCAAAGAUUAUAGUGACAGCUGCUAAGAUAAGCUAUUAUUUCCCAGCUGGGAGAAGUGGCUGCAGUGACAGACUAGGCUUUCACAAUCCUUUGGAAUGUAAAUGGAUUCUCUCAAGAAGAGAGGGGGAAGACUGCGCCACAGAAUGCAAAGCAUUUGGCUGUGGAAGAAGUUAAGUUUCAUGACCCUUUGAGUGAGAGCAGAUGGUUCAAGGUCUACCUAAUAGCCUUUAACUUCCAAGCCUUGUCCUUUCACCCAGGUGCCAGUAAUAUUUUCUCUGAAAGUCCUAACUCUGCAGAACCAUGAAAAUAUCCACUUCUUGACACAGAUCAGUGGGUGCCCGUGGCUGAAUGUUGGAGCAGGAUUGACAGCAAACAGAACUAUUUCAGAAGCCAGGAACAAGAACCAAUAUUAUAACAAUGUUCCUACAGCUCUUAUCACUUUGGAAAACAUAAUGGUUUGAGGAGCUUCAUUCAGAAGCUUGGAUGAAGACAAAAACACCUUUCUUAUUAUAUCACAAUAUCACAUCCAUACUGUGGAACGCUAUUUCAUAGAGGGAAAGGAGUGUGCAGGAAUCGGCACAAGUGGAGCUUUGGGGUUCUGUUAAUUAUCUCGGUGCUGCUUAUGGGAGAACGUUCAUUUUUUACAGAUUUACUAAGCUACUCAUUUUUGGUUUGUGUACUUUAUUUUUGUUAUGCUUCACACCAACUGCACCACUACCAGAGUUCAUUGUAUAUGUAGAGUCUAUAAUAUACCUCUACUCUGCAUGUGUGUGUAUGUGUGUGUAUCAUAUAUAUAUA